Molecule: long non-coding RNA, 338 nt
Organism: Crotalus tigris (Tiger rattlesnake)
Lineage: Eukaryota; Metazoa; Chordata; Lepidosauria; Squamata; Viperidae
Exons: 3
Source: RefSeq, a predicted model, not a curated record
GAACAAGAGGCAGGAGUAUAAGAUGUGCUCUCUGCCUUGAUUACACAAACACACACAUGCACACGAAUCUUGGCUCUUUCCAAAAUGGAGUGAAUGAAUGACAAGAGAGAAUAGAAGAGCGAAGCAGGGAAAGAAAUGGCACAGCAUGAUUCUUUCAAUGUCAAUCCUCCAACCCCACAAACUGAUCAUUCUGUUGGACAGGAAAACUGACAGCCAAAAUCCUGUGAGUCUUCUGCUAUCAAUCAAGGGGCACCAAAGAAGCCGAAUUCACCUCACAGGAUUGUUGUUGUGGGGAAAAUAGGAGGAGGAAGGUCUACUGGAUAUGCUUGCCACCUGGA